AUGCACUAGAUACUAACCUGACUGUCUGCUGCCCAGUCCUUUUUUGUACUGGUGCACAUCCAUGGCUGUUGGGUCCAGAAUGGUGCUAUAGAGACAGGCCCUGAGAUUUAAGCUCUGAGUGCAAAGUCAUUCUCUCAGGAGUUAUGACUCAGGGAUACAUCA
Molecule: non-coding RNA, 162 nt
Organism: Colossoma macropomum (tambaqui)
Lineage: Eukaryota; Metazoa; Chordata; Actinopteri; Characiformes; Serrasalmidae
Product: small Cajal body-specific RNA 1
Exons: 1
Source: RefSeq, a predicted model, not a curated record